GACGAACGCUGGCGGCGUGCCUAAUACAUGCAAGUCGAACGAGAGCGACCGGUGCUUGCACUGGUCAAUCUAGUGGCGAACGGGUGAGUAACACGUGGGUAACCUGCUCAUCAGAGGGGGAUAACAUCCGGAAACGGAUGCUAAAACCGCAUAGGUCUUCGAGCCGCAUGGCUUGAAGAGGAAAAGAGGCGCAAGCUUCUGCUGAUGGAUGGACCCGCGGUGCAUUAGCUAGUUGGUGAGGUAACGGCUCACCAAGGCCGUGAUGCAUAGCCGACCUGAGAGGGUGAUCGGUCACAUUGGGACUGAGACACGGCCCAAACUCCUACGGGAGGCAGCAGUAGGGAAUCUUCCGCAAUGGACGCAAGUCUGACGGAGCAACGCCGCGUGAGUGAAGAAGGUUUUCGGAUCGUAAAACUCUGUUGUUAGAGAAGAACAAGUGCUAGAGUAACUGUUAGCGCCUUGACGGUAUCUAACCAGAAAGCCACGGCUAACUACGUG
This 498-nucleotide ribosomal RNA is filed under the name uncultured bacterium. RNAcentral's name for it is "partial 16S ribosomal RNA". It matches the Rfam family "Bacterial small subunit ribosomal RNA", at positions 28 to 507 of the family's 1533-position model. The record is from RNAcentral.